Molecule: ribosomal RNA, 505 nt
Filed under: uncultured bacterium
Lineage: Bacteria
Description: bacterial SSU rRNA
Rfam family: Bacterial small subunit ribosomal RNA
Source: RNAcentral
UAGUCCACGCCGUAAACGAUGGACACUAGCUGUUGGGAUUAAUCUCAGCGGCUAAGCGAAAGUGAUAAGUGUCCCACCUGGGGAGUACGAUCGCAAGAUUGAAACUCAAAGGAAUUGACGGGGGCCCGCACAAGCGGUGGAGCAUGUGGUUUAAUUCGAUGAUACGCGAGGAACCUUACCAGGGCUUAAAUGUAGAAUGACAGUUGUGGAAACACAUCCUUCUUCGGACAUUCUACAAGGUGUUGCAUGGUUGUCGUCAACUCGUGCCGUGAGGUGUCGGGUUAAGUCCCAUAACGAGCGCAACCCCUAUCUUUAGUUGCCAGCGGUUCGGCCGGGGACUCUAAAGAAACUGCCCGUGUAAGCGGAGAGGAAGGUGGGGAUGACGUCAAAUCAUCACGGCCCUUACGUCCUGGGCUACACACGUGCUACAAUGGUUGGUACAAUGAGUUGCUACAUGGCAACAUGAUGCUAAUCUCAAAAAGCCAAUCUCAGUUCGGAUUGAGGU